GACGAACGCUGGCGGCGUGCCUAACACAUGCAAGUCGAACGGGGGUAGCAAUACCCAGUGGCGGACGGGUGCGUAACACGUGAGGAACAUGUCUUUCGGCGGGGAAUAGCCGGCCUAACGGCCGGGUAAUACCGCGUACGACGAUUGGGGCGCAUGCCUUGAUCGUGAAAGCAGCAAUGCACCGAUAGAGUGCCUCGCGGCCUAUCAGCUAGUUGGUGAGGUAAUGGCUCACCAAGGCGACGACGGGUAGCUGGUCUGAGAGGAUGAUCAGCCACAUUGGGACUGAGACACGGCCCAGACUCCUACGGGAGGCAGCAGUGGGGAAUAUUGCGCAAUGGGCGAAAGCCUGACGCAGCGACGCCGCGUGUGGGAUGAAGGUCUUCGGAUUGUAAACCACUGUCGGGAGGGACGAAUGCGCCGCAGGCGAGUGACGGUACCUCCAAAGGAAGCACCGGCUAACUCUGUGCCAGCAG
RNAcentral lists this ribosomal RNA (473 nucleotides) under uncultured bacterium. Its description in RNAcentral is "bacterial SSU rRNA". It matches the Rfam family "Bacterial small subunit ribosomal RNA", at positions 28 to 514 of the family's 1533-position model. The record is from RNAcentral.